Serinus canaria (Common canary) is the source of this 680-nucleotide long non-coding RNA. RefSeq lists it as uncharacterized. NCBI's taxonomy places the organism in Eukaryota, Metazoa, Chordata, Aves, Passeriformes, Fringillidae. The record is from RefSeq and is a predicted model, not a curated record. The transcript has 2 exons.
CUGCAGCCAGUCAACCUUCCGGACAGGUUGUCUUCCCACUCCUCUCUGUCCCUUCCCGCCUUCUCUCCUCCAUCUUCCCUCGAAUAAACCUCAUUUUUGGAAAAGUGGCUGUGUUUGUGGAGCCCUCCUUCACCACUGGCGUGCUGUGUUAGCCGGGACUGGGAUCGCCUGCAGAGCAGUUCGGGGGAACCUCUUUCCCGGGGAGUUGGAUCCAUCUGACUGCCCAGGACAAGAACCCGAGCGGGACCCCCACACCACCAGGGACUCCAGAAUCCUGCAGUGAGGUUGGUGAAAAGGAAGGAGGGGGAGGAGAAGGUGCUCCAGAUGUCAGACCUGAGAUUCUUCUGUAAGCCAUGGUGACCUGGCCGGGUGGAUGCAGGAAAGGCUGUGGAUGUUGUCUAUUUGGACUUCAAUAAGGCCUUUGACACUGUCUCCAAGAGCACACUCCUGGAAAAACCGGUGGCCCAGGGCUUGGACAGGAGCACUCUUUUCUGGGUUCAGAACUGGCUGGAUGGCCAGGCCCAGAGAGGGGUGGUGAGCAGUGCUGCAUCCAGCUGGGGGCUGAUCACCAGUGGUGUCCCUCAGGGGUCUGUGCUGGGGCCAGUUCUGUUCAAUACUUUUAUUGACAACAUGAAUGAGGGUAUUGAGUCUUCCAUUGGUAAAUCUGCAGAUGACACUAA